AACGAGGCCACUCCCGCUCGGCACCCUCGGUCCUUUAUUGUUGACUCGAAGCUCCCAAAAUGGCGGACGCUCCUUCCUCCUCGGAAACCUCCGCCCGCCCCCACCCAGCCCUCUCGCUACGGCCUCCUCUCGCCCCCGCCCCCGCCCCGCUCCGAGGGGCGCGCAGGCCAGCCGCCCGAGCCGCCGGCUCCCCCGGCUGUCCAGCCCUACCUCCUCCGCUGCCCGCUCUCGUGGCGCCGCCGAAGUCGCCGCCUGGCUGAGCUAACUCGGCUCCUCUGCCCCCUCCCUCGCUCGCCCGUUCGCCCGCCCGCCGCCUCCUCCCUCUUUCCCUGCCUCUCCGCAUGGCGGCGACCGCGGCUCCUCCUCCACUCAAGAUGGCGAAACCUCGGCCGCCGCGGCUAUAUUCGCCGCGGCGUCACUGCCUUCCUGGCCUGGUGGUGAGAGGAAGUCGGGCCGCGAAAGCUUCCUGAGGAGAAAAUGGAGGGCCCUUCUCUCACACCGACGAGAAAAGUUCGAGGGGGAAAUACGAGUUCCUUUCUGAAGGGACAGGACGGCUGCUUUUCCACAGCCGCGACGUGAUUGAGAAAUGGUGGCUGGCAAGGGUAGGCCUGCCUUCGCCCCUCCAAAGUAAAAAUCGGGAGUUGAGACCAGAGGAACAUCUCUUUAUUACAUGACUAAGGAUAUGUUUUGAAAACUGGCCCCCGGGCAGCUGCUCGGGGACAGGAAGCUGACCUGACUUCUCCAGCUGGCCGGGGAGGCUGAUGCCGGGCCUAAGGGGCCGCGUCCGAGCCUCUCGGGGCGCGCCUCCAUGCAGGAAGGCGCGGAACUAGCGACCCGGAGACGCCGGGCGCGCGUCUGAGUGUGGGGGCAGGAAGGGGGGCCGACCGGGCCCGGAGGCCGCACCAGGCAGGAGGGAGGACUCCAGAGAGUGCGCGGGGGGCGCUGCGCGGUGGGACGGGGCGAGCCUGUAGGGCGCGCCUGGCGGCGGAAAUAAUAGAACUGCUGUCUUCUUCCAAGUUAAACAAAACUUUGGAGCUAAAAGCUAGCUAGGUCAAGAGAAACAAAAUCUAAUCCUCACCCAAUUGAGAGACUGAAUAUACAAAGAAUGGCCAAACCUAACCAUGACCUCCUACCCAUAACCUCUUCAGUAAUCGGCCAGAAGGGUCAGGACUUAAUCUUUAACCGGCAGCUUCCCUAUUUCUUGCCCCUGCUUCCAGCUCUGGGCCAAUCAGAGAAAGCCAAAUGUGCUCCUCACACCAAUCGCGUAAGAAGCCCUGCUUCUAGUAUAGCCCUCCUCCAACUUCCCGAUGCCAACAUCCUCCAAUCAGAGCCAACCUGAAGUUUCUCCCUUUUUUCAGUAUAUGUAAAGCUUUUCCACUCCCCUGCCUGCCUAUGAGUCUGUUAAAUCAAGUGAUGGGUCGCGGCUGACUCUUGCCAGCUCUGAGUAAAUAGCCUAUUCUCAUUUGGUGGUCGUUAUUUCUACACAGCCGGUGGGAAGGUGGUGGAGAAUAGUGAAGACUAUUCUUAAGGUUAAAAAGAAGGUUCGGCUUACAUUUUUUUUUUAUUUUAAAUUUACAGCAUGGCGUCUCCAGCCCAGGUUUUAAAAUACCUUCUAAUGUAAGGAAAUAGCCCUGCACCUUGUGCCCAUCCUAGAGAGAAAAUGGUUUCUUAAUAAAAAAUGUAUGAGGCCUUUUUUGCCCCAAUAUCUUCCCAAGCAGAGGAAUGUGAAGGGGGGUUGGGCCAAGAAGUGAGUGGUAGGAAGAGAGGCCUACGGAUUUAAAACAGGCCACUGCUUGGAGGGGUGUCUUUCCUAAACCACUGAAGAAAUUGAACCAGGCAAAGGAAGGGGGUUCACACCCACAAAUAAACUAUAACCUACAAAAGGAGCCCGGGUUCACAUCCACAAAUAAAUUGUAACCUACACAAGGAGUCUGGUUGAGGUCACAAAACAAAAGCCAGGAGGCAACCAAAAGUAGAAUAUGAAAUAGGUGCUGCCUUCUCACCUAGGAAUCCUUCCAGGGCUAAAACCUUCAAAUAUUCUGCUUUUAAGGUAGUCAGAUACCCUCACAACUCAUUUACAUCAGCCCUUCUCUGUUUUCAAGUGAGAAGCAUAGAUGGUUUAGAAUUAAGCUAUGAACUCUUGGAUCUUUUCUUCCAAGUUUAGUGUUAGUGGUAGAUAGGUCUAGUCCAACUAUCUCAAUACAUUGUUUUCUCCCUAGUUAAAACAGAUUUGCAAGAAUCAUUUGUAUGACACUUUAGGAAUACAGAUAAAUUGCUAGUGCAAAUAAUAUCCUUAUAUUUAUAAAAUAUAUGUGUACUUUUAAAAAAGUUAUAUGAAUCCAAUCCUCUGGCCUUUUAGUUAGUAUUGAGUGUGAUAGUUGUGGGAGAUCUGUAGUAAAUACGGUUUCUGAAGGGUGUGCUAUCAUCCCUAAUGAACUCACCUAUUAAUUGUGGUAAAGAGUUUUUCACUUGGGCUGGGCACGGUGGCUCACGCCUGUAAUCCCAGCACUUUGGGAGGCCGAGGCAGGUGGGUCGACUGAGGUCAGGAGUUCCAGACCAGCCUAGCCAACAUGGUGAAACCCCGUCUGUACUAAAAAAAAAAAAAAGAAAAAAAAUAGCUGGGCAUGGUGGCAGGUGCCUGUAAUCCCAGCUACUUGGGAGGCUGAGGCAGGAGAAUCCCUUGAACCUGGGGAGGCGGAGGUUGCAGUGAGCCAAGAUCGUGCCAUUGCACUCCAGCCUGGGCAACAAGAGCAAAACUCCGUCUCAAAAAAAAAAAAAAAAAGAAAAAGAAAAAGAAAUGAAAAAAAAAGUUUCCCAACAUGUAUUAGCCGUUUUCAUGUUGUCUGUAUUCACCUUUGCGUCAUCACCCCUCUUCAAUUUCCUCCUGGAAUUCAAUCACAGUAAUGGGUUAUCUCAGCAUAUAUUAUUCGCCAGUCUCACAUCCUGACCUCAUUUAUUUACCUAAAAAUAACCAGAACGAAAAAAAAAUCACAGAUUAAUUUACACUUGAUUUCACUUUAACUUCAAUUUAAAAUACUUAGAAUCCAGAAUUCCUAGUAAGUUGAACCUGGAAUACGCAGACCUGUGAUAAUAUCUUAAACACUCAAAUGUUUUCAACUUGCUGAAAUGGAGUUCACACUUUUAACAUUCUGGGCUUUUUUUUUAAAAGGGACUAUAAUACUUUAAC
This 3187-nucleotide long non-coding RNA is filed under the name Homo sapiens (human). Its description in RNAcentral is "HSALNT0181939". The record is from RNAcentral. Lineage: Eukaryota; Metazoa; Chordata; Mammalia; Primates; Hominidae.